GAUGAACGCUGGCUACAGGCUUAACACAUGCAAGUCGAGGGGAAACGGCAUUGAGUGCUUGCACUGAAUGGACGUCGACCGGCGCACGGGUGAGUAACGCGUAUCCAACCUUCCCGUUACUGCGGGAUAACCUGCCGAAAGGCAGACUAAUACCGCAUGUUCUUCGAUGACGGCAUCAGAUUCGAAGCAAAGAUCCGUCGGUAACGGAGGGGGAUGCGUCUGAUUAGCUAGUUGGCGGGGCGACGGCCCACCAAGGCGACGAUCAGUAGGGGUUCUGAGAGGAAGGUCCCCCACAUUGGAACUGAGACACGGUCCAAACUCCUACGGGAGGCAGCAGUGAGGAAUAUUGGUCAAUGGGCGGAAGCCUGAACCAGCCAAGUAGCGUGCAGGAUGACGGCCCUACGGGUUGUAAACUGCUUUUGUAUGGGGAUAAAGUCAAUCACGUGUGAUGUUGCAGUCCA
This 461-nucleotide ribosomal RNA is filed under the name Prevotella sp. oral taxon G64. RNAcentral's name for it is "bacterial SSU rRNA". It matches the Rfam family "Bacterial small subunit ribosomal RNA", at positions 28 to 480 of the family's 1533-position model. Lineage: Bacteria; Pseudomonadati; Bacteroidota; Bacteroidia; Bacteroidales; Prevotellaceae. The record is from RNAcentral.